UCCUAUUUUUGCUUCAUGGCGAGAUGUUGAAAGACGGUUUCGGCUGUCACUACAAGAUGGGCCCGCGGCGCAUUAGCUAGUUGGUAGGGUAAUGGCCUACCAAGGCGACGAUGCGUAGCCGACCUGAGAGGGUGAUCGGCCACACGUGGGACUGAGACACCGGCCCAGACUCCGUACGGGAGGCAGCAGUAGGGAAUCUUCCACAAUGGACGAAAGUCUGAUGGAGCAACGCCGCGUGAGUGAAGAAGGUUUUCGGAUCGUAAAACUCUGUUGUAAGGGAAGAACACGUACGAGAGUAACUGCUCGUACCUUGACGGUACCUUAUUAGAAAGCCACGGCUAACUACGUG
Molecule: ribosomal RNA, 349 nt
Filed under: uncultured bacterium
Lineage: Bacteria
Description: bacterial SSU rRNA
Rfam family: Bacterial small subunit ribosomal RNA
Source: RNAcentral